Molecule: long non-coding RNA, 2407 nt
Filed under: Oncorhynchus mykiss (rainbow trout)
Lineage: Eukaryota; Metazoa; Chordata; Actinopteri; Salmoniformes; Salmonidae
Description: lncRNA (ENSOMYG00000076075.1)
Source: RNAcentral
AUGUCUUGCUCAUGCAAUGGCAAUAUGUGGGAUGAGGACUUACCUGCCCAUUCUUACGACUCUGGGGUUGAGAGGAAUUUCAAACUGGAUACAACAGGUGGCGUACAAUGGAGCUGCUCUGUGUCCCAACACUUACUGCUGGUCGAACCGGUACCAUCUAACCUCGAACCAAUUAACCACACCCACUGCCGACGCCUGUUAUUCGGAUCAGGACAGACUGAACCAAAAAAAAAUAAUUAUUUGAAAGUAACUGUUCAGUGAAAAUGUCCUGUUAACACACACCCAAAUAAUGUUGACUGAUAUACUCGUAUGUGGCCAAAGCAUAAAUUGAAAAAAAAAAAAAAACACUUGCUAGGAUGAGCUAGCCAAUCAGCGGUCUACUCAUGUGAAUAUUUAUUAACGGAUUAACAUAAAUAUCCAAUGCAGCCCUUUUUCUCUCAAUAUCAUGAUUUCUGGGUAACAAUUAAGUACCUCACUGUGAUUUAUUUUUGACCGUUUGAAUUAAGUGACAAAUUAAAUUGCUUCUUAGUAAAUAGCAACUUCUCAAGGAAGAAUUUAGCUAGGCCUGGGUGUGGUCUGAGAGAGGGAAGGGGAAACUGGCUCUUAUUGGCAGAGGGGAUUGGAACUCUUAUUGGUCGAGCAACUAAUUUACCACCUGGUGAUGUCACGAGGCAGGCCAAAACUCCAGCCUACCAAAACAGGCAGACUUUUUUUUUUUUUAAAUCACCUUUUACACUAAAAAGGGCAUUAUCACAAUUUGCAUAGUAUUAUGCCAACCUAAGUGAGGAAAUAUAUUUUACCUUUAUUUAACCAGGCUGAGAACAAAUUCUUAUUUUCAAUGACGGUCUAGGAACAGUGUUCAGGGGCAGAACAACAGAUUUGUACCUUGUCAGCUCAGCGGGGUUUGAACUCUUCCGGUUACUAGUCCAACACUCUAACCACUAGGCUACCCUGCCGCCCCUCCACUCUAACCACUAGGCUACCUGCCGCCCCUCCACUCUAACCACUAGGCUACCCUGCCGCCCCUCCACUCUAACCACUAGGCUACCCUGCCGCCCCUCCACUCUAACCACUAGGCUACCCUGCCGCCCCUCCACUCUAACCACUAGACUACCCUGCCGCCCCUCCACUCUACCCACUAGGCUACCCUGCCGCCCCAUAUAAAAACACAAAUUAUUCAUGUUUCUUUUUCACUGCACUGGUUCUUUAAUACCCCAUUGUUUUGGAAGGAACAUUAUUUCACUCAUUGUAAUAUUUCAUAGAAACCUGGAGACACUAGACAGUUACUUCAACAUGCUUUCUGUAUUCACGCCAUUCACCAGCUACCACACUGAGAACUACAGCUUUUACCACAAGUCAAUAUUGCAACAUCACUAAAAACAGAUUACACUUUACGUCAGUUAUUACAAAUAAUUGAAUAAAUAAGCACAUUUUACACUGGAAAUAAAACAUCUACUUGAAUAAGUGUCAUCCCUUGCAUGAGGGUGGGGACAGGGACUGUGGCUAACAGGCCCAUCCCUUGCAUGAUGGUGGGGGGACAGGGACUGUGGCUAACAGGCCCAUCCCUUGCAUGAGGGUGGGGGGACAGGGACUGUGGCUAACAGGCCCGUCCCCCAGUGACAAGUAUGGCUGAAUUCCAGACGGACCCCUAGCCGCUACUCUUUAGCCACUCCUGGAGAUCUGAGAGGACUUUAUAGAUGGAAGUUAUGUCGUUUUCUCCGUGUAGCGAAGCCACGGCUUCAUCCUCCGCCACGUCCUCAUCUCCAGGGCAUCUAUGCAGAGGGUCCGUUGCGGAAGGAGGCGGCUUCUCACUGUGCCCCAACGUCACUCCUAACAGACUCUUAAUGUAGGUGUCAGGGGCUGGAGGCUGGUUACACUUGUCCCUACAACAACACCUAGAGAGUUAGUUAGAAAAAUGUAUGUAAGUCACUCAGUAUUAAAGAAAUUGGCAGUGAUGGUUACUUUUUAAAAAUGUAUUUCCAAUUGUCAUACUUGUGUAAAAGUAUAGAUUCCUUAUUAGAAAGUUACUCAUAUAACCCAUUAAAAUACUACUUGGAGUAAGUGUCCAAAUAUAUUUAGGACCAAAUAUUUUUAAGUAUCAUAAAUAAAUGUAAUUGCUAAAAAAAAAUGUACUUAAUUAUCAAAAAGUAUACAUAAUAUUAAAUUCCUUCUGUUAAGCAAAGCAGGCAGCACCAUUUACUUGUUUUUAAAAAAUGUAUAUAGACAGACAGGGGCCACACUCAGACGUCAUUUACAAAAGACGCAUGCGUUUAGUGAGUCUGCCAGAUCAGAGGCAGAAGUGUUGUCUGAAUAAAGUGUGUGAAAUUGGACCAUUUUCCUGUCCUACUAAGCAUUCAAAAUGUAACAAGUACUUUUGGGUGUCAAGUACUUUUUACAUGAUUUUCUU